Vidua macroura (Pin-tailed whydah) is the source of this 1170-nucleotide long non-coding RNA. RefSeq lists it as uncharacterized. NCBI's taxonomy places the organism in Eukaryota, Metazoa, Chordata, Aves, Passeriformes, Viduidae. The record is from RefSeq and is a predicted model, not a curated record. The transcript has 7 exons.
UUCUGCCUCUGCUUUGAUAGAUCAGAGUUGAUGUGCAAAGACAGAGUCCUGCUGUCCCUGCCUUUGGAUGGCACAGCUCAUCUCUGGAGUCUGCCUGGAGAACACAGGGCAUGAAGGGGACUGCCAUCCUGAACCUCCUCACCUCCUUGUCACUGAUACUGAGAUCAAAGUGAAACUGGCACACAGGAUUUCCACAUAUGUCUGGCAAAAGAAAAACAACCAGCUUUACUUCGUGUUCUACAGCAUGUCCACUAUUAUGCCAGCCCAAUCGUAAUUUCCAAUGAAGUUUUGUCUCCUAACUGUGGAAGAUCUCAUCUAAUAACCUAGAUGUGCCAAAGUGAGAGCUUUACCUAGAACAUGAACCCAUAGGCUGCUCUCACAAGUGACAGAACAAUUAGGCCCUGCACAUCCACAGAAAACAGGAAGAAAAAAAGGCUGAACUACAAAGAACAUGAAAAAGACCACAUUCUUCUGAAGAAGAAUUCUGCUUACAGAAUACUGCAAUAAAAUACUGCACCAAAACUGCUAUUUUAUCCUACUUACCUGCUGUCAUGUCAUUCAUUAAUCUAAGACAAUUUAGACCAACAAUCUGAGCUGCAUCUAGAAGUGACCUUCUUUCAGCAUCUGUGAAAAAUGAUGGAACCUGAAGAAAGUAGGUUACUCUCUGCAGUCUCCUUCAAUUUAGUCAAUAGCAUAGCUGAAAUCUGUUCCACACUGAAGAUGUGCUCCUCAUCCAUGUACAUGACCUGGAUAGAAUAGGACUUCAGUUUACAAUUUCAUUUCCCAGCCGAGUGUUUAUAGAAGCAGUAACUCCAUUCUGUCUUAAAACAUUAAGAACUGGAUCAACUCCAUAGAUUAAGGAAAUGGCCAAAAGUGACACAGGUUUAAAAUGUGGCACACCAUUAAGUAAAAAUAGCCAUCGUUCUUCAAACUGAUGCCAAAUGCAAAAAAUGUACAGAAGUACUUGCUGUGUAUUUUUCCUCAGCAUUUUUAUCCUUCUGCUUAAAUAUGUGAGGUAUCUCUGAAAGGAAGAACUGUGCAACAACAGCUCACCUAUGCACAUGAAACAACUAAAAGCUUAAGAUAAAGCUUAGAAAAAAGUUUAUUUAUUGCUCUCUUAGCAAAAAUUAUUCUUGAAGCACCAUUUUUAUCAUGCAAUAGAAUACAUGA